This 301-nucleotide ribosomal RNA is filed under the name Escherichia coli. RNAcentral's name for it is "partial 16S ribosomal RNA". It matches the Rfam family "Bacterial small subunit ribosomal RNA", at positions 1 to 298 of the family's 1533-position model. Lineage: Bacteria; Pseudomonadati; Pseudomonadota; Gammaproteobacteria; Enterobacterales; Enterobacteriaceae. The record is from RNAcentral.
AAAUUGAAGAGUUUGAUCAUGGCUCAGAUUGAACGCUGGCGGCAGGCCUAACACAUGCAAGUCGAACGGUAACAGGAAGCAGCUUGCUGCUUUGCUGACGAGUGGCGGACGGGUGAGUAAUGUCUGGGAAACUGCCUGAUGGAGGGGGAUAACUACUGGAAACGGUAGCUAAUACCGCAUAACGUCGCAAGACCAAAGAGGGGGACCUUCGGGCCUCUUGCCAUCGGAUGUGCCCAGAUGGGAUUAGCUAGUAGGUGGGGUAACGGCUCACCUAGGCGACGAUCCCUAGCUGGUCUGAGAG